ACGAAGGGGGCUAGCGUUGUUCGGAAUUACUGGGCGUAAAGCGCACGUAGGCGGAUUGGAAAGUUGAGGGAAAUCCCAGGGCUCAACCCUGGAACUGCCUUCAAAACUUCUAGUCUUGAGGUCAGGAGAGGCGAGUGGAAUACCGAGUGUAGAGGUGAAAUUCGUAGAUAUUCGGUGGAACACCAGUGGCGAAGGCGACUCGCUGGACUGAUACUGACGCUGAGGUGCGAAAGCGUGGGGAGCAAACAGG
This 250-nucleotide ribosomal RNA is filed under the name uncultured bacterium. RNAcentral describes it as "partial 16S ribosomal RNA". It matches the Rfam family "Bacterial small subunit ribosomal RNA", at positions 525 to 776 of the family's 1533-position model. The record is from RNAcentral.